Molecule: ribosomal RNA, 807 nt
Filed under: uncultured bacterium
Lineage: Bacteria
Description: bacterial SSU rRNA
Rfam family: Bacterial small subunit ribosomal RNA
Source: RNAcentral
GCAGUCGACGCGUUGGCCCGACUGAUUGAUGAUGCUUGCAUCUGAUUGACGACCGUUUACAACGAGUGGCGGACGGGUGAGUAACACGUAGGCAACCUGCCCAGAAGCGGGGGACAACAUUUGGAAACAAGUGCUAAUACCGCAUAACAACGAAAACCACAUGGUUUUCGUUUAAAAGAUGGUUUCGGCUAUCACUUCUGGAUGGGCCUGCGGCGCAUUAGCUUGUUGGUGAGGUAACGGCUCACCAAGGCUGUGAUGCGUAGCCGAGUUGAGAGACUGAUCGGCCACAAUGGAACUGAGACACGGUCCAUACUCCUACGGGAGGCAGCAGUAGGGAAUCUUCCACAAUGGGCGCAAGCCUGAUGGAGCAACACCGCGUGAGUGAAGAAGGGUUUCGACUCGUAAAACUCUGUUGUUGAAGAAGAACGUGCGUGAGAGUAACUGUUCACGCAGUGACGGUAUUCAACCAGAAAGUCACGGCUAACUACGUGCCAGCAGCCGCGGUAAUACGUAGGUGGCAAGCGUUAUCCGGAUUUAUUGGGCGUAAAGCGAGCGCAGGCGGUUUUCUAAGUCUGAUGUGAAAGCCUUCGGCUUAACCGGAGAAGUGCAUCGGAAACCGGAUAACUUGAGUGCAAGAGAGGACAGUGGAACUCCAUGUGUAGCGGUGGAAUGCGUAGAUAUAUGGAAGAACACCAGUGGCGAAGGCGGCUGUCUAGCUUGCAACUGACGCUGAGGCUCGAAAGCAUGGGUAGCGAACAGGAUUAGAUACCCUGGUAGUCCAUGCCGUAAACGAUGAGUGCUAGGUGU